AAACUAAUAURAAUUUAUUUUGAAAAUAAAUUUGAAGAUAAAAUCUUGUAGUUUU
RNAcentral lists this transfer RNA (55 nucleotides) under Haemonchus contortus (barber pole worm). RNAcentral's name for it is "tRNA-Ser". Lineage: Eukaryota; Metazoa; Nematoda; Chromadorea; Rhabditida; Trichostrongylidae. The record is from RNAcentral.